Long non-coding RNA from Rhineura floridana, 412 nucleotides. RefSeq lists it as uncharacterized. NCBI's taxonomy places the organism in Eukaryota, Metazoa, Chordata, Lepidosauria, Squamata, Rhineuridae. The record is from RefSeq and is a predicted model, not a curated record. The transcript is spliced from 3 exons.
UUCAGAAGCCCCUCUUGAAGCACUGUCUUACCUUGGACUUUUAAAGUGGUUUUGUAGGUCCUGCUGAUCAGCUGAUUGACAGUACCUGCAUACAUCAUUUCAGCCAACCCCUGUAGAACAGGUGGGUGUGGAUUGCUCAAAAUGACCUCAUGGACCAAAUGGGGAGGCUUGGUAGGCCUAAUUAAGCCCAUGGGCUGGAGGUUCCUUCCCUAAGGUUGAUGUUGAAAGAGCUCCAUUGACUUUUCCAAGGUAAAAAGACCCACAGAUCCAAUCAUGUUGCUGAGAGGUGGGGAUGCUGCAAAGAGUAUGUGAAGUAAUGGGGCAUGGCCCAAGUCUGCAAUAAGGAAAGUUACAAAUCAGAAAUGAAUCUUGCUUGAAGUCAGUUUCCCUUUGCACUCAUUUUUCCUGGAUG